Molecule: ribosomal RNA, 433 nt
Filed under: uncultured bacterium
Lineage: Bacteria
Description: partial 16S ribosomal RNA
Rfam family: Bacterial small subunit ribosomal RNA
Source: RNAcentral
AACGAACGCUGGCGGCAUGCCUAACACAUGCAAGUCGAACGAUCCCUUCGUGGAUAGUGGCGCACGGGUGCGUAACGCGUGGGAACUUGCCCUUAGGUUCGGAAUAACUCAGAGAAAUUUGAGCUAAUACCGGAUAAUGUCUUCGGACCAAAGAUUUAUCGCCUUUGGAUGGGCCCGCGUUGGAUUAGCUAGUUGGUGGGGUAAAGGCCUACCAAGGCGACGAUCCAUAGCUGGUCUGAGAGGAUGAUCAGCCACACUGGGACUGAGACACGGCCCAGACUCCUACGGGAGGCAGCAGUGGGGAAUAUUGGACAAUGGGCGAAAGCCUGAUCCAGCAAUGCCGCGUGAGUGAUGAAGGCCUUAGGGUUGUAAAGCUCUUUUACCCGGGAUGAUAAUGACAGUACCGGGAGAAUAAGCCCCGGCUAACUCCGUG